Molecule: ribosomal RNA, 217 nt
Filed under: uncultured bacterium
Lineage: Bacteria
Description: partial 16S ribosomal RNA
Rfam family: Bacterial small subunit ribosomal RNA
Source: RNAcentral
CGUCUCAGUUCGGAUUGUAGUCUGCAACUCGACUACAUGAAGCUGGAAUCGCUAGUAAUCGCGAAUCAGAAUGUCGCGGUGAAUACGUUCCCGGGUCUUGCACACACCGCCCGUCACACCAUGGGAGUCAGUAACGCCCGAAGCCGGUGACCCAACCAAACGGAGGGAGCCGUCGAAGGUGGGACCGAUAACUGGGGUGAAGUCGUAACAAGGUACC